RNAcentral lists this ribosomal RNA (254 nucleotides) under uncultured bacterium. Its description in RNAcentral is "partial 16S ribosomal RNA". It matches the Rfam family "Bacterial small subunit ribosomal RNA", at positions 524 to 776 of the family's 1533-position model. The record is from RNAcentral.
UACGAACCGUGCGAACGUUAUUCGGAAUCACUGGGCUUAAAGCGCGUGUAGGCGGGGUGGCACGUCGGUCGCUGAAAGCCCCCGGCUCAACCGGGGAAGGGGCGCCGAUACGACCACCCUGGAGGGACGUAGGGGGACCUGGAACUUCCGGUGGAGCGGUGAAAUGCGUUGAGAUCGGAAGGAACGCCCGUGGCGAAAGCGAGGUCCUGGACGUUUACUGACGCUGAGACGCGAAAGCCAGGGGAGCGAACGGG